GAUGAACGCUAGCUACAGGCUUAACACAUGCAAGUCGAGGGGCAGCAUGGUCUUAGCUUGCUAAGGCUGAUGGCGACCGGCGCACGGGUGAGUAACACGUAUCCAACCUGCCGUCUACUCUUGGCCAGCCUUCUGAAAGGAAGAUUAAUCCAGGAUGGGAUCAUGAGUUCACAUGUCCGCAUGAUUAAAGGUAUUUUCCGGUAGACGAUGGGGAUGCGUUCCAUUAGAUAGUAGGCGGGGUAACGGCCCACCUAGUCAACGAUGGAUAGGGGUUCUGAGAGGAAGGUCCCCCACAUUGGAACUGAGACACGGUCCAAACUCCUACGGGAGGCAGCAGUGAGGAAUAUUGGUCAAUGGGCGAUGGCCUGAACCAGCCAAGUAGCGUGAAGGAUGACUGCCCUAUGGGUUGUAAACUUCUUUUAUAAAGGAAUAAAGUCGGGUAUGCAUACCCGUUUGCAUGUACUUUAUGAAUAAGGAUCGGCUAACUCCGUGCCAGCAGCCGCGGUAAUACGGAGGAUCCGAGCGUUAUCCGGAUUUAUUGGGUUUAAAGGGAGCGUAGAUGGAUGUUUAAGUCAGUUGUGAAAGUUUGCGGCUCAACCGUAAAAUUGCAGUUGAUACUGGAUAUCUUGAGUGCAGUUGAGGCAGGCGGAAUUCGUGGUGUAGCGGUGAAAUGCUUAGAUAUCACGAAGAACUCCGAUUGCGAAGGCAGCCUGCUAAGCUGCAACUGA
This 728-nucleotide ribosomal RNA is filed under the name uncultured Bacteroidales bacterium. RNAcentral describes it as "bacterial SSU rRNA". It matches the Rfam family "Bacterial small subunit ribosomal RNA", at positions 28 to 743 of the family's 1533-position model. The record is from RNAcentral. Lineage: Bacteria; Pseudomonadati; Bacteroidota; Bacteroidia; Bacteroidales.